UAAGCUGCUUCCAGUGAUAGGUGAAGUCUUGCAACGGCGUGGCCGGUGGUGCUAUCUGAAAAUCAUACGCGACUGAACAUUUAAUAACGUGAGACAUGAGACAGAAAUCUAUAUGAAACUAAACGUUACAUAUAACGUUGCUUCGAGAUAUACAUAAGUACUAAAUUACGUAACAAGAAAAAAGGAAUCUGCAAUUUCGAUGUCGCAUUACGGUAUUAUGUUGCAACCAAUCGUUAUAAACAAGGAUAAGGCGUAUAAGGAAAAUAAAUAACACGUGCGUUAAGGAAUACAAUUGGAGGCCC
This 302-nucleotide long non-coding RNA is filed under the name Polistes fuscatus (common paper wasp). Its description in RNAcentral is "uncharacterized LOC122520644". Lineage: Eukaryota; Metazoa; Arthropoda; Insecta; Hymenoptera; Vespidae. The record is from RNAcentral.